GAGGUAGCAAUACUUUGGUGGCGACCGGCGCACGGGUGCGUAACGCGUAUGUAACCUACCUAUAACAGGGGCAUAACACUGAGAAAUUGGUACUAAUUCCCCAUAAUAUUCGGAGAGGCAUCUCUCCGGGUUGAAAACUCCGGUGGUUAUAGAUGGACAUGCGUUGUAUUAGCUAGUUGGUGAGGUAACGGCUCACCAAGGCAACGAUACAUAGGGGGACUGAGAGGUUAACCCCCCACACUGGUACUGAGACACGGACCAGACUCCUACGGGAGGCAGCAGUGAGGAAUAUUGGUCAAUGGACGCAAGUCUGAACCAGCCAUGCCGCGUGCAGGAAGACGGCUCUAUGAGUUGUAAACUGCUUUUGUACGAGGGUAAACUCACCUACGUGUAGGUGACUGAAAGUAUCGUACGAAUAAGGAUCGGCUAACUCCGUGCCAGCAGCCGCGGUAAUACGGAGGAUUCAAGCGUUAUCCGGAUUUAUUGGGUUUAAAGGGUGCGUAGGCGGUUUGAUAAGUUAGAGGUGAAAUCCCGGGGCUUAACUCCGGAACUGCCUCUAAUACUGUUAGACUAGAGAGUAGUUGCGGUAGGCGGAAUGUAUGGUGUAGCGGUGAAAUGCUUAGAGAUCAUACAGAACACCGAUUGCGAAGGCAGCUUACCAAACUAUAUCUGA
This 673-nucleotide ribosomal RNA is filed under the name uncultured Bacteroidales bacterium. RNAcentral describes it as "bacterial SSU rRNA". It matches the Rfam family "Bacterial small subunit ribosomal RNA", at positions 73 to 743 of the family's 1533-position model. Lineage: Bacteria; Pseudomonadati; Bacteroidota; Bacteroidia; Bacteroidales. The record is from RNAcentral.